GACGAACGCUGGCGGCAUGCCUAACACAUGCAAGUCGAACGGAGUAAUGACCUUCGGGUGAUUACUUAGUGGCGAACGGGUGAGUAACGCGUGAGCAACCUGCCUUGGCGAGGGGGAUAACACUUGGAAACAGGUGCUAAUACCGCAUAAGACCACACUUCCGCAUGGGAGAGGGGUCAAAGGAGCAAUCCGCGCUGAGAGGGGCUCGCGUCCCAUUAGGUAGAUGGCGGGGCAACGGCCCACCAUGCCGACGAUGGGUAGCCGAGCUGAGAGGCUGAUCGGCCACACUGGAACUGAGACACGGUCCAGACUCC
This 314-nucleotide ribosomal RNA is filed under the name uncultured Eubacteriales bacterium. RNAcentral's name for it is "bacterial SSU rRNA". It matches the Rfam family "Bacterial small subunit ribosomal RNA", at positions 28 to 339 of the family's 1533-position model. The record is from RNAcentral. Lineage: Bacteria; Bacillati; Bacillota; Clostridia; Eubacteriales.